This is a long non-coding RNA of Olea europaea var. sylvestris, 910 nucleotides long. RefSeq lists it as uncharacterized. Lineage: Eukaryota; Viridiplantae; Streptophyta; Magnoliopsida; Lamiales; Oleaceae. The record is from RefSeq and is a predicted model, not a curated record. The transcript is spliced from 2 exons.
UCCUCUUUUCCAUUACCGUGCGUGAGAGCAGAGAAGCAACGAAAAUACCUCCCUCACGAUCGAAGACCUGCUACCUUCUUCCUCAACAAUCGACCACCACCCGCUACCUAGAACACCAGAUUUCAUAACCAUUUGAACCCCCUCACCUCCCUCUUCAACCUCUUGUCAUCACCUGGCCACGGAGUUGCCCAAAAUAGCCCCAAUCACCACCCAAAAUCGCGCUAUUAGUCACGAUUUUCGCCAUAUUUCCACCGUCGUCGGCCACCGUUUCGAGCGCGGACCACCACCACUCCACUCCUCCCAACCAGGCGCAUCCAGUACCAACAUAUGUCACCUGCAAUUUUGUCCAGAUUCGAGCGAGAUUGUGAAAGUAGUCUUGUGUGGCAGAUUCGGUCCCAACAAAAUUGAUGAAAUUUUGUUGAUGCAAACAAUCAAUUUUGCUUUCCAAACAUCAAGAUGGUGGUGACGAUGGAUUUGAUGAUGAUUUUGACAAGAUAUAGCUUGGUAAGUGUAGCGUGUUACUUGCAUCUGUGGCUCUGUGUGUGUGCAUGCGUGUGUCGUGGGAUGGGGCCUCUCUAGUGUUCUCAGAAAUUUCAUUUUGUUUUAUUGAAAUUUGCAAAUGAAACCAACAAAAAAAUUGUUGCCUCUUAACUUUCAUUAGUUUUGCUGGCUUUAUGAACUGAUGUUUGAUUACCAAAUUCCAGUUGCAAAAAGAGCCAAAUUUUGUAUAUACAGUGGAUAUGGUUAGGUUGCAGAAAGAACCAAAUUUUGGUGAUGUGCAACUCAAUAUAGAUGGGAUUGUUUCGCAUUUGUACAUACAAAUGUAUUAUUUGCCUCAAAAGGACUAUAGACUUUUGAUGUAAUUUGUACGCUUGAGGUUUCAAUCAAGACAAGUUUUACAUUUCACGAA